This 224-nucleotide long non-coding RNA is filed under the name Elaeis guineensis (African oil palm). Its description in RNAcentral is "long non-coding RNA (EGUI_LNC029111)". Lineage: Eukaryota; Viridiplantae; Streptophyta; Magnoliopsida; Arecales; Arecaceae. The record is from RNAcentral.
CAUCUCUUGGAAUUGGUUGCAUGUUUGAAAAGGCCAAGAGAUACCAAUAAUAGUUGAAGGCCACUUUGUUUAGUCGGCAGCUGGUAGCUUUCCAUGGGCAUGCAUGUGAUUGUGGAAAAUUGUGAUGAUGAUGCUGAUAGAAGGGUUAUAUUGUGACUUUUUUUUCAUGAAGAGUUAGGAUAAGAGCACAAGUCCUAACUGAAUAUUGAUGGUGGGUGUGGAUG